This 424-nucleotide ribosomal RNA is filed under the name uncultured cyanobacterium. RNAcentral's name for it is "bacterial SSU rRNA". It matches the Rfam family "Bacterial small subunit ribosomal RNA", at positions 356 to 795 of the family's 1533-position model. Lineage: Bacteria; Bacillati; Cyanobacteriota. The record is from RNAcentral.
GGGGAAUUUUCCGCAAUGGGCGCAAGCCUGACGGAGCAAUACCGCGUGAGGGAAGAAGGCCUUUGGGUUGUAAACCUCUUUUCUCAGGGAAGAAGCAAUGACGGUACCUGAGGAAUCAGCAUCGGCUAACUCCGUGCCAGCAGCCGCGGUAAUACGGAGGAUGCAAGCGUUAUCCGGAAUUAUUGGGCGUAAAGCGUCCGCAGGUGGCUAGUCAAGUCUGCGGUCAAAGACAGAAGCUAAACUUCUGGAAGGCCGUGGAAACGGGCAAGCUAGAGUACGGUAGGGGUAGAGGGAAUUCCCAGUGUAGCGGUGAAAUGCGUAGAGAUUGGGAAGAACACCAGUGGCGAAAGCGCUCUACUGGGCCUGUACUGACACUGAGGGACGAAAGCUAGGGGAGCGAAAGGGAUUAGAUACCCCUGUAGUC